Molecule: long non-coding RNA, 12324 nt
Filed under: Malus domestica (apple)
Lineage: Eukaryota; Viridiplantae; Streptophyta; Magnoliopsida; Rosales; Rosaceae
Description: long non-coding RNA (MDOM_LNC020371)
Source: RNAcentral
UAUAAAUACACAUGACAUUACAAGACUUUCAAACAAGCGGGCAGCAGGAUACAAGUAUAUCACACACGAACAGAUUGCAAGCCUGAACUAGUACUCUCUAUUGACUCAUGGGAUGGGAUACACAACCACCUUUCCGGCAGCUCUGGAGGUUUCAAGAUAGGCAAAUGCUUCAACAGUCUUCGAAAAUGGAUACGGGCCUGUGGGAUCAAGCACCGGCUUCACCUUCCCACUCUCCAAGUAAGGCUUCAGUUUCUCUAAUAUAGUUCCGGUUGAAGUCAGUAUAAAUAUGAUUGCCGGUGGCGUUACUGGACCUACGAUUGUCACAACCUUCCCGCCUUCCUUCACCGCCUUCAAUGCCCUGUCACUCUGCCCUGUUUUUGUUAAUUUCAAAAACACAGAACAACAUCAGUCAUUGUGCUUGAUUUGUAUAAGAAAAAAACAACGAUGAAGACUCAAGAAUUAUACCAACUGCAUCAUAAACCACAUCGAAUUUCUCGGGCAGGUCUUCGAAGUUCUCCUUGGUGUAAUCAAUAGCCAAAUCAGCACCCAAGCUUCUCAAAGGAUCGAGUUUUUUCGUGCUCGCUGUAGCUGCUACUUUUGAAGCGCCAAACAUAUGCUUUGCUAGCUGCCUCACAUAAACACAUUGAGUGUCAUGAAUAAUUAAUCAAUCAGCUUUACUUAAUUAGAGCCUAACUUAAUGGAAAAUGUUUGCACUUGAUUAACAUUGUACCUGAAUAACAUGUGUUCCGACUCCCCCAGCGCCUCCCAAAACAAGGAUGGAUUUACCGGCAGAGAAUUCAACUCGUUCGAGCCCUUCAUAGGCAGUCUCAAUGGCCAGGGGAAGGCUAGCAGCUUCAACAAAACUCAGAUUUUUUGGCUUGAGAGCUAACACUCUUUCUUCUGCAGCAGUGUACUCGGCCAAAGAUCCGAUCUUUUUCGGCUUAUCGAGAGCCUUCUCGUUGAGAUCCCCAUAUACUUCAUCCCCCACCUUAAACUUUGUCACCCGGCUUCCUACUUUCACCACCACACCAGCAACAUCAUAACCUGGAACUGUCUGCAAACAAGUUAAUUUAAUAAAAUUAAUAUUUUAGCAAACAAGCUAAUUGGUUUACACUAGAAUUUGAAGAUCAACUUUGAUUCUUCAAAACAAGUUUCUUGUUAUUUCUUAACCUUUCAAUUUUUAUUUUUUUUACAAGAUGAUAAUUUAAACUAAUCUACGUGUGUGGGGAUUCAAACUUGGAUGUCAUCAUCUAAAAGGAACGAGCACAUUGCUUUGGCCAACUGACGUAAAAUGCCUAUGUAAAGAGGAAUAAGCACACUGCUCUAGCCAAUUGACUUAAUACGCGUCUAAAAAAAAUUAUUCUAACAAAAAGAUCAACUAGAUCAGCUUUGAUUCUUCAAAUAGAUUUAACUAAAUUAUAAGUUGGUAAAGACUAAAACUUUUCUAAAUCCCCCUACUCACAAACUAAUCUUGCAUUUGACUUCAGUGAAAAAAAUGAAGAGAGAGAGAGAGAGAGGCUACAGGGGGUGAAGAGUCAGAGUCCUUGAAGUAGCCAAGCAUCCUUUUGAAAUCAACUGGGUUGAGAGAUGCAGCAACCACCUUGAUCAGCACCUGGUCUUCCUUUAUUUCAGGAACAGGAACAUUCGGAUCGAACUUCAAAACAUCUGCAGACUUUCCGUACUCUGAGUACACCCACGCCUUGUUUACAGAUGGUAUGGAAACUGAAUCACUUGAAGCUACAGCAGCCGCCAUUGAUGCACUGCAAAAACCACAAGAACUUGCAAAGGGAAAGGGAAAAGGUUUGUUGUUGUUGUUGUUGUUGUGAGCAAAUCAGUGAGAUAAGAUCACAGGCUGAUAUCUCGACAGCGUGUCGUUUGUAGGGUGAAUGAGAGGGAUGUGGAACCUUGGUGUUUGCCUAAGUGGCCCUACAAGGAAAAACUCCAAAUGAUGCAUCUAGACGCACUGUUAGUUAGGUUUUUUGUGUGGGACAACAUGCCAAAUUAUGCAUGUAGACGCAUCGUAAUUGGAGGUUUCAUUUUGUGCGGCAACAUGUUAUAAAAUUCGUGUUCUGUUUCUAUUAGUCUAAUCUGACAUCAAAGACACCCCUGGAUCGUAAUGCUAGCGUCGAAGUUUUCUUCCUUAUUUAUCCUUAUCCUUAUCACAAGUUAUCUUCCUUCUUGUUGACACCUCCAACAAGAAAUAUAAGAAGAAAAAACCCUACACUUUCUAAGUUACUUGGCUCAUCUGUAUGUAAGUGCUUACGUAAGAAAUAUUUAUUUAUAACUUUAUGUAGGUUAUUAUUAAUUUUUUUUAACAAACAAUAAUAUAUAUACUAAAGGGGUGAGAAAGUGGGCUAAACCUCACAAUAGGCUAGUAAUAAUGUGAUUCAAAUUAAUAGAGGUACUGUUAAAAAAUAUUAUUUAUUAAAUUAUUAGAGGUAAUGUUAAAAAAUAUUAUUAACUGACGUGUUUAUCUUUAAUGAAUGUUGUAUUUUCUAAAUAGGAUUUCUGACAAGGACAAUAUGAAAAUACAAAAAAGUUUCAUGCCAAGAAGUUGUAAACAUGCUUAAGAAAUUAGAAACAUUUUGGCUUCAAUAAGAAGGUGUCAUGUUGACAGAGUAUUAUGUACUUGCAAGUUCAAAGACGUAGUAUCAACUCUAAAAACUAAAGCAUUGCCUCAGUCAAUUUUAGAUAAAUAUUUUAGCUCAUCUUAAAAUUUUAUUUAUGGUAUUGCAUAUUUUUGUACUCAAACAACUUUAGAGAAUUAUUUUAGUUUCCUUAAGAAGAGACUAAGAAAAAUUAUAACUUAUUAAAAUGUGGAGUUCCUCUUCGCUUAGAAGUGAGAGGUCUUAGGUUCGAAUAUCGUGAAUGACGAAUUCGAUACGAAACUAGGUUGCCCAUUGUGUGGCUUAGCCGAACUCUCCCUCUCCUAAUGUAAAAAUAUCGAUGUACUAAAAAAAUGUGGAGAUUAUUCCUAUGCAUAACUGGUCUUUUAAGUUAAGACCAGAAUCUUUUAUGACUUGAGGUUAUUCCUUUACGGAGUAUUACUUAAAGAGGUUUUACCGUAGUUUAGGCAUUUUUUAUGAAAGCGCUUUCAUUAAAAACAAGGGAGUUUUAAUGAAAAGGGCUUGGUACUAUUCAUUCUUAACCAUAAGGACAUUUUAUGUAUGAAAAGUCUAUAAUAGAUCAAACUCUUCUCUUUAUUUACUCUUAUGCCAUUACAUGCGGACCACAACGAUGUUGACAUUUCUGUCUGGAAAUACAUUAUGAUGCUAUUCAUCUUAUGCUAAUUUACAACUAGUUCUUCAGGCUUCCAUCAUGUUGUCGAUGUUAUGCAGCUCUUCUUCUGACAAAUUAUUCCAAUACUGUUCAUCGCCUUCUACUAGCUCCGCAUCUCUUUCUCUAUCUUCUUUCACCUUGUAAUAUAUUUCCGCUGUUUCUUCUUUGAAAUUUUGGGGCUUCCAAUAAGGCUGAUGACUGAUUCUUGUCUUGCUGUAAAUAUACAUCUCUUCUUCUUCUGCUACUAGUACCAUAUCAUACCUAAAAUCUUCAAACUCAUCUAAAGCAAACAUUUGGAUCCCUCUAAAUUUUAAAAUAUCUUUGUAUGAAGGAGUCCACCUAUGUGAGGAGAUAGGGUUUAGUCUAAAGGACUCUUCAUUGAUCAUGGCUAUAUGCCUAGCUUUCUCCUUAUGCAUGUGUACAUACCAAUCUGGAGGACUACUAAUAAAACUUAUGCAAAUUUCUUUCCACCUUUCUAGAUAGUCUUCUUCUACUUUAAUAAGCUUUUCAGGAAAAGAUUCUAGUUGAGAAAUACGGUUAAUAAAUAUUUUAUCCAGAUAACCAAACUCUAAUAGUAAGGCAGGGGUGACUUCUACCUCAUUAUGCUUUUUCUGAUGCUCAUAACUAAAAUGCCAUGAUUUAAAAUCUCUCAUGUCAAUCCUGGCCACAGCUACGCUAACUUCUGGUUUACAAAUACAAUUCUCUGUACUAUCACAAAGACAUGGAUGAUACAUCUUUGUAAUAAUAUCCAUCCCUGGUUUUGGAUCAAAGAUGGACUGAUACAAGGAGCAUUGUAAUUGUAAUUGUAACUCUUUCAUGGACUGUGAUGCUCUGCUCAGGAUCUCAUUUUGCAUAUCUGUUGGCAUUAUUCUUAGUUUUGCUUUUGAAAUUUCUUCUAAUAAAACAUCGUCUAAUACUAAGCCUGAAGAUAUAUUUCUAAGAAAACUUUCAUAUUUUUCUUGUUUUUCUUUGUCACUCAGAACCUGAUGCUGAUCAUUACUUUGAUGUUGCUCCAUUUCAACGUCUUCUUCUAAGAGCUCAAUCUUAAUUUCCUCUAUGGGUUCAUUAGCCUCUUGUUCUAUGGGUUCAAUAACCUCUUUUCCUUUAUGCUGAUCAAUUUCUAAACCUAUUUUUAAUUCUCUUUUCAAGGUGUCACUUGCCUUUUGCUGCAUUCUAAGAGAUUGGAGUUCUUGGUUCAUUUUGGUAAACUUACCAAGUAAUGACUCAUGGUCCCUAGAAAUGGCUUGAAGAUUGUGCUCAAGAGAAUAAAUAUGCUGCUGGUUUUGGUGGAAAUUAAAAUUAAAGCUAUCAAACUCUUGUUCCAAGGCUCUAAUUAAUUUUUCAUGACCUAACCUCAUGCUUGGCUGCUUAAUUUGGAUAUUCCAGAAAUUAUCUAAGAGAACCUGCUGCCUAUCAGAAAGCCCCGGUACCCUUGACCUGUAUCUCAGAGUUGGAUUUCUGAUUCCUUCAACAAUAUUGCCAUUAAAGUUGAACGUGGGUACUAGUGGUGAUGCUGGUCUGCUCAUGCUAUUUUGAAAUCCACUGAAUGGUGGAGGUUGAUGGUGCAUCCUCAUGCCAUUGAAAGAAACUCUUCUGCCUUGCGGCCUUGUGCUAUUUGCUGAUGAUGGUCCACGAUAUUCCAUACCUGUUCAACAAAUUAAUCUUGAUAAGAUAUCAGCUAAUGUAUUGUCAUUACCUUUUAUAUGUUCAAAAAUUGGUUUAAAACCAUUUCCUGUAAUUGAAUUAACAAAAUUAACCCAUCUUCGGGCUGCCUGUUUAUUAGCAUGUAUCUUGUUGUAAUGAGAAACUAUAUUUUGACAAUCUGUUCUAAUCGUAAAUACUUCAUUAUGUAAAAAUAAAGAAAAUGUUUCAAGUGAAUUAAUUAUCCCUAAAAUUUCUAAAUCUGUUGAUGGUAAUCUUGACUGUACAUCACUAAACUUUCCUGAGGAAUAUCUACAAACUUGUUCGUCAGACUUUGGAGACUCCCUAUGCUUUUUCUGGUAUAGUAUACCUGCCCAUCCUAAUGAUGAAGCAUCUGUUUCGACUAUCUUAUAACUAUCAUCUAAUGGUAAUGUUAAUGGCUUAAGUUUAGUAAUUUCUUCUUUUAUUUUUUGAACUAAUUUAAUAUCUUCACUAUUAAAAUAUUUUUGUCCCGUUUUGCUAGUUUUACUAUGUAAUACUGCUAUUUUUCUUCCUAAAUCAGGGAUAAAAUUUCUUGCAUAAUUUAGCAAUCCUAAAAAUGCUUGUAACUGUUUCUUAUCUUCUAAUUUGUUUGGAAAUUCUAAUACCUUUUUAGCUAUAUGAUCUUGUAAUUGUAUCGUACCUGACUUGAUAUACAUUCCUAAAAAUUCUAUAUCUUGCUUUUCUAAUGCUAUUUUAUUUUUGCUAAUCACAAUCCCAUUAUUAAUAAAUUCUUGUAAAACUAUCUCUAAAUGCUUCCUAUGUUCAUUUCGAUUUUUACUAUGUAUUAAAAUAUCAUCUACAUAAACACUACAAAAAUUAUCAUAUUUCUUGAAAAUUGGAUCCAUCUUUCUUUGAAAGAUCGAUGGAGCAUUUUUAAGUCCAAAUGACAUAACAAGCCACUCAAAAUGUCCUUCUGGACAAGUAAAAGCUGUCCACCCAAUUGAUUCUUCUGCUAAUCGUAUUUGCCAAAAUCCUGAUUUACAAUCAAAUUUACUAAAAUAUUUACUUUGUUGAAUUUUAUUUAUAAGUUCAUCUUUAUUUGGUAACUUAUAACUAUCUUCAUAUGUAUUAUCAUUUAAUCUCUUAUAAUUAUAAACUAUUCUAGCCUUUCCUCUUUUUAGCUCUGAAUGUUUUCUUACUACAAAUGCUGCUGAUCUGUGUCUGGACUUAGAGGGUCUAAUUACUUUUAAAUUUAACAACUCUUUUAUUUGCUGCUCAAACUCUUGUUUAUCUAUUAGACUACAAGGCAUAUCAGCUGUCUUAAUGGUUAAAUCUGGGUUAAUUAUAUCUAAUUUUGCUAGUAUUUUAUUUUUACUCCAAUGUAAUUGUGGGUCUUCUCCUAUAAUCCUAGUUUGUUCUGCUAAUUGUAACAAUUCUUCUAAACUCUUUGGUCUGUCUAACUGUAAGAUUUCUAUACGGAUUCCUUCAUCUAUAAUUGGAUAUUCGUGUUCAAAUAUUUCUUCAUCAAACUCAAACUCUUUUAGAUUAUUAUGCUCAUCAUUUUCUUUUGAAUUUUCCAAAUAAUAAUUGUCUUGACUACUAGAUUCUUCUAUACUUAUACUUUUGUAUGCUUCUAUGUUAUUACUUUGGUCAGUUAUUGUAAUUCAUCUUUUGAAAAAUGUUAUGCUAGGGUUCAUAAAUAAAAAACCUUGUAAACUUUUCAAAAAGUUUAAACCUAGAAUGAAUGGGUAUGAUCCUACUGGUGAGACAAAUGUUAAUGGUAGGUUAAAUUGUUGUUUUUCCACUUUAAUGGACUCAUUAUUAAUGCAAUGUGUUAAAUAGACUGGUCUUUCAUCAAACUGCGUUAUUUUCACUGGUUUUGCUAAUUUUUGUCUAUACUUUUCUGGUACUAACUCCUCUCUUAUGACACUCUUAGUACUUCCUGUAUCUAUCAUAGCUGUUGUUUGUAUCUUAUGUUCUUUUGCCAAUUCUAUUUCACAAUUUAUGGUAAUUAAAGAACUAUUUUUUGGCUUUUCUAUACUAUAAACAGCAUUUCUUAAUAUUUCAGUACUUUCUUGUGAUUCUGCUAAAUUAAUUUCUAAUAACUUAUUAUUAUAACAAUUUUCACACAAUAUUGAAUAUGUAUUAUAGUAUUUAUUUGCAACUAAUUUACUACACUUAUGACAUUUUUCUGGCCAACCUAAAUUAAUGUAUUUAUAUUCUUCUUCAUGCUGUUCUUCUAUGAAGGCACACAUACUCUUCUAAAUCACUAUUUGUGCUACUUGAAUCUUCUGAGUCUGAAUCUAUCAUGUUAAUACUCUCUAUACUAUAAAUACUCUCAUUAUCACUUAAAUUAUCUAAACUGUAUAUUGACUGAAUAUCCUCAUCUUCUUCUAACUUAAGUAACUCCAUCAAAUGUACUUUCUCUUUUGACUGUUUACCUAGUUUUGGACAUUUAGGUCUAAUAUGUCCAGCUUCUCCACAUGAAUAACAUUUACAAUUACUCUUAUCUUUUGGUGCUUUAUAUUUUUUUCUAAUCCAAGGUCUGCCACUUCUUUUUCUAAAUUGUUUUGGAAUAUAUUUUCUCUUCCUGUAUGUUCUUGAAGGUCUUAUACUGAAAUUCUUAUACUGUUUGUAGGGUUUAUAUGACUUAUAUUUCUUUUUGUGUAUUUUCUUAUGCUUAUUUUUCUUAUGACAACCAUACUGUUGUGGUAAAUCUAUGUUUUUACAACUCAUGUAAAAUUGUUUCCUAAUUUGUCUCUUAGCUUUUAUUUGACUACACUCUUGUCUAAGUAUAUCGUAUACAUGUUGAAUUCUAAGUCCUAUUGCAAUAUCAUUUUUCUUUGGAUGCUUUUGCCAUUCAUUCCAAAUCUUUUCUCCUAUUGGUCCUUUUAUUUUUGUCAUAUAAGUAUCUAAUAAAUUAAUAUCACUAAUUCUACCUGUUCUACCUAAAUAUUUAAAGAAAUCAGUGGUAUAUUCAGCUAUAUAUUGUAAAUCACAAAUUUGUAGUUGUUCUAAAUUUCUAAUUGCUCUUUUCUGCUCUUGUUCACUUCUGCCAUCUAAUCUAUUAUGAUCUAAAAAUUCUUGUUUAAUCAAAGUAAAAAAACCAUCAAUAUUAAAAUGUGUUUUAGCUGCCUGAUGCUGUUCUGGAUUUUGGACUUUCCAUGACUGGAAAUAAUCAAAAACUAAACCAUCUAAAGUAUGCUCAAAAUAAUCUAGCAUAUUUUGUGAAUUACUAAAAUCUAACAUCAAUGCUGCAUGUACGCAACCUUUUUCCCAUCUUUCAAUUGUUCUCUCCCAAUCUUGUGGAUCUACAUUGUCUAAGUUUAAUAUAUUACCAGCUAUAUUAAUUUGUUCUAACCCUCUCAAAUAUGGAAUCCUAUUUUUUCUAGGUUUUAUCAUGCUUUCUUCUAUGUGGUCUACUCUUGCUCCUUCAUUAUAAUGUUCAUUUGUUGGUCUCAAAAAUUGUUGAUCAGUUCUACUUGCUUGUCCUGGAUUUUCUACUCCUGAUGUACUACUUUCUUCUGCUGGAUUACAUUCUUCUUUUAAUUCUAAUAAAUUAUUAUAUUCUUUUGAUCCUAAAAUAUGUUCUACUCCUAUUUCUAAGAUUAAAUUUUUCAUCUCCUCAUCUGAAAUUUUAUGUAGUCCUAAAUCAUAUGUCUUAUAUUUUUCUAAAUACUUUUCUUCAUCUAAAUGAUCAAUAUCUUCUAUAAGCUUGUCUACAAUAUGAUCAAAGUUUUGCUCAACUAAAUUAAUAUCUAGAUUAUCAAAAGCCAUAUGUAUAUUCUCAUUUUCGAUCUCACUCUCAUCCUCUUCUAUUUUUUCUAGUUGUUUAUAAUUACUAAACCUAAUUGUUGCUUGACCUGUACUAGUUUCAUAUAUUUGUACUUUAUCUGGUUGUCUAUUUUGUGCUACUUGUAAAUUGGGCAAUGUCCACUGAGUUCCUUCUAAAAAGCUAUUAUCUACGGGUUUUGCUUCUAUCAUAUUUACAUGCUUACUGCCAAAUGUUUGAACUAAAUUUUGAAACUCUAAAUUAAACUUAUGAUUAUAUCUAUCAGACACUUUACCUAUAUACAUUAAGCUAAUACACAAAUUUUUAUAUUCUCCUUUCAUAUUAUAAUUUUUUGUUCUUAUGCUCACUUUAAUAUAUUUACUAAAUUCAUUAAUCGUCAUAACAUAAUUUGGAAUGCAACCUAUGACUGCUAAGUUUGAACUUAAGUCUACUUCAGCUGUUGCUAUUGCUGCUUGUUGGUGAUUAUCCCAUCUAUCAUCAUAUAUGUAUACUAAAGCCUUUGUACCUACUUGUGCUCUGGUUAAUCCUGCUAUUCCAAUUAAUAUUGUUCCUAUAUGAAUCUGACUAAAAUGUGAUUUUCUCAAAUGAGUAACUGCUUCUUUACUAAUUAGAUUAAGUGUGACUUCUUUAUCAAUACAACUAACUUCAUGUUGACUGAUGCUGCUUACAAUUCUACUUCUGUUUUCAAAUAAACCUAGUUGAUACAAGUUAUAUUUAUUUUUCUGUGUUCUCUCAAAACCUCUUCGAAUAAAUUAUUGUGCUUCUUCUUCAUUUGGAUAAAUAUCUUCCGCUCUAACUACUUCUUUUCCUUUUUUUCCUAAAGAGUUCCAUUUUCUAUUAUCAAAAGGAUUUAGCUUAGGUCUUCUAUUAUUAUUUGCACUCAAAGUUAAAUUUUCUAAUUUAUCUAGCAAGGAUGGUGGAAGUGAUGAAGAUGCGUUAUGUAAAACUUGGUUUAUUUCUGCUAUUUGUUCUUCAACUUGAUCUAAUUUUUCAGCUAGACUUAAAACUAAUUGGAUAAUCAAAUUAUUUUGCCUAAUGGGAAUAUUACUACUGGAUACUUGUGUUGAAAAAUCUGUUAAUCCUACUGGUUCUUUAUCUAAUUUACUAAUUUCUUUCAAAGCUUGAAUAUAUUUUCUGCUAGUUCUAGAAUCUGUCAUUAAACUAAUAAUUUGUCUAUUUUAUUAUGCAACUUAUCUACUUGUUCUCUCAACUCCUUUUGUACGAAUUGAAUUUUUUUUGAACUUCUAAUUUUAGUUGUUCAACUAUUUCUAAUGACCUAAGUUCUACUUGCUUUGGCUUACUAUCUAUGAGGUCAACAAGCUCUUUUAUCUCUCUUUUGCUAGGAAACCUUUGAAUAUUUUUAUUAUUAUCUUCUAACUGAGAUGUAAUAUAAUCUAAAUUUUGUCUAAUUAUCUUUAUGGAAUUUUUCUGAAAAUGUUCUAACAACUGGUUUAACAAAUGAUUAUGCUUAUUAGUUUCUAAUUUUAUAUUUUCUGCUUGACUAAUAAUAAGAUCUAUAAUACUAUUGGCUUGCGGAUUUUCUUCACUGUGCAAAAUAUGAUUAUGCUUUCUUGAUGGAAAAUAACAAACUAAACUAUUUUGGUCUAAGGUUAUUUUUCUUUUUUGGGGUUCACUAAUUUCUAAAUUAAGAUAAUCUAUCAUAUACUAUAGUCUACCUUUCUCUAAAGUUACAGCUAAUUGGUUUCUUAGAACCUCUCUUUCUUCUCUCAGGGUCUCUAAAACUUGGUCAGUUACUCUUUUUGCUUCUAAAACUUUAUGCUGCACUUCAGUGUUAUUAUAUUUACUAAUAAAUGAAGGAUGUUCAAGAUAACCAAGAUAAAACUUUUGCUUCUUCAAGGUCCUGCUAAUUCUUUUGGAUAUAAAUGAUAAUCUUCUCUUUAUGCUAUUUAUAGUUGGAUGUCUAGGACAAUAAAUACCUGGUAAUUGUGGUUGACAAGGUCUACAGGGACAAUAAUAUAUGUUAUUCAUACAAAAUAAACAAGUGUGAUAUCAGUUGCUUUAAUGACUUCCGUCCUCAAGGUACUUUACUAUUAUAAUCAUAUUAUUAAAAUGCUAAACUUGGCUCUGAUACCAAAUUCGAAAAGCAUGCACGGUUAAAUAGUCAGAUGACCAUUAUAACAACUAGACAUAGAACCUUGCACAUGGAACUCGACAUGUUUCAGCAUGACGGCCACUCACAGUACAAGUAUAAGGCCUUAACGGUUGAACUCAGAGGUACAAAGAACUCAGAGGUACCCUGGUUAAUGUCUAGUUAUUUGUAUGGCAAGUAUUCAACUAUAACAGAGUGCUCGAACAAAGUAUGAUCGUCAGUUUAGCAGAUUAAUAAUAUAAUCACAAUAGUGUUUCCCUGUUUUGGACUAGAAGUCUAAUUAAACAAACACACUAAAGAAGGAAAAGAAAACUUACUUAAGACUUGAAGAUUGCUUGAAUAUGUACACUUGAACUUUUAUUGAUAUAUGGAAUGUUUACAGAGAUGGUUGUUUACAAGAAAGUGAUUACAAAGAAGUGUUUACAAGGAUGCUAUGAAGACUACGAAUGCUUGAGUGUAUGGUGUUUUCAGAUAUUGAGAUAUGUGUGUGGUAUUCAGGUGUGUUCUAUAUGGGAGGAAAGACUCCCUUAUACAAAAGCUGAUUCCUAAACAACAAAAUAAUUUUUUCAAUAUUUACAACUUUUUGAUGGUGACAACACACUGUUUCUGAAAGCUGUCAGCACUGUUUCUGAAAGCUGUUGAAGGCCACGUGAAUCCAUAUUGUCUUGGUUGCUGCAAAGUUUGCCACCUUAUCUUUGACAUGCAAAAUUUUUCUGAAAUUGCUGAGCAAUCUUGUAUGGAUGUGUGAAGGGCAUGAUUGGCAUUUUUGCUAAGUUUUGUCCUGAUGAUUAAAGUGAAACUUUUGAGGGUGUUUUGGUUAGUUUUCCAUAAAAACAAACCAAAGUUUUUAUUAUAAACCCAAUUGCACUUUUAUAGUUGAUGAAGGGAGAAUGUUGUGCAGGCAUUGUCACUUGAGGUUCAAUGGGUGAGAACAAGUUACGCAACUCAAGUUUUGUUUCUUAUUUUUCACGACUAAGGCUUGCAAUUGAAGUUAACUUUCUUACUUAUCACACCUACAACAAUAAAAAACAAGACGAAGAUAAAAAAACACCUGUACUUUUGAAGUUGACCUAGUUCAAAUGGAAGUGCUAUAUAUAAGAGGGAAUACAUCUGCUCUAACCAAUACCCGUGUUAAUUAAAGCGGAAAAACACAGCAAUGAGCAAGUAGGAAGAAAACACAGUGAAAACUAGCCAAACUCGAAGCACUAUAUUAAUAGAUAUGAUUGCGCCGCCCUUAUUACAAGUCUUUUUAAACAGCAGGCAGCAGGAUACAAGUAUAUAUCACACACAAACAGAUUGCAUGGCUGAACUAGUACUCUCUAUGAUUUCAUGGAAUGGGAUACACAACCACCUUUCCGGUAGCUCUGGAGGUUUCAAGAUAGGCAAAUGCUUCAACGGUCUUCGAAAAUGGAUACGGGCCGGUGGGAUCAAGCACCGGCCUCACCUUCCCACUCUCCAAGUAAGGCUUCAGUUUCUCUAAUACAGUUCCGGUUGAAGUCAGCAUAAAAAGGAAUGCCGG